CGGAUUGACUCUGGAGAGCGGCCGUCAGGCCCACCGACGGGGCAGGGACCGGUUUGUCCGGUUUCAAACUCUCAGGUUCAGGACAGAGGGGCGGCG
RNAcentral lists this non-coding RNA (96 nucleotides) under Sedimenticola thiotaurini. Its description in RNAcentral is "Glycine sequence". It matches the Rfam family "Glycine riboswitch aptamer". Rfam says of the family: This family represents the bacterial glycine riboswitch. Glycine riboswitches usually consist of two metabolite-binding aptamers domains with similar structures in tandem. The record is from Rfam by way of RNAcentral. Lineage: Bacteria; Pseudomonadati; Pseudomonadota; Gammaproteobacteria; Chromatiales; Sedimenticolaceae.